UUUCGAUGCCUUCCCUGUCUUCCAAAGUCAUCCUUCUCAUCCUCUGUCCUAUCUUUCCCAAAGCUAGCAGGCUGCUGGAGCCUGCACCCUCUAAGCGGCAGCCGUGGGUGUCUGACAAUUUUAGGGAAUGAGGUGCAGGGUCUGCCCCUCCCCCACCCCAGCUUCUAUUCAAGCUCCAGGGUUUCCCUUUCCUUGCCUGAUGGUGAUUUUCCCCAACUCGCUGGACACCCAGGAGCCUCUUGCCUCUAUUCUUCUGUCUCUUCAUGGAGCAACUGUGCCAGGGCUGCCUCAGGGCCUUUGCAUGACUCCACUCCUCCUCACUUCCUUCAGAGAAGCUUCAUUCUUAGAACACACCUUAUAUACAUCACAUGCUCUCCGCUCCCUCCCCACUCAGUCCCUCGAUCCUCUCCGUAACUCUGGACUCCUUAGCUUGUGCUGGCUCUGCUGGCUGCCACCCACAUGGCAGUGACCUCUCUCUAAGGGCAG
Molecule: long non-coding RNA, 486 nt
Filed under: Rattus norvegicus (Norway rat)
Lineage: Eukaryota; Metazoa; Chordata; Mammalia; Rodentia; Muridae
Description: long non-coding RNA NONRATT014127
Source: RNAcentral